Molecule: ribosomal RNA, 501 nt
Filed under: uncultured Glomeromycotina
Lineage: Eukaryota; Fungi; Glomeromycota
Description: partial small subunit ribosomal RNA
Rfam family: Eukaryotic small subunit ribosomal RNA
Source: RNAcentral
CCAAUAGCGUAUAUUAAAGUUGUUGCAGUUAAAAAGCUCGUAGUUGAAUUUCGGGGUCAGUAGGUUGGUCGUGCCACCGGUACGUACUGGUCUCACUGAUUCCUCCUUCCUGAUGAGCUGUAAUGCCAUUAAUUUGGUGUUGCAGGGAAUCUGGACUGUUACUUUGAAAAAAUUAGAGUGUUUAAAGCAGGCUAACGCUUGAAUACAUUAGCAUGGAAUAAUGAAAUAGGACGUUCGAUCCUAUUUUGUUGGUUUCUAGGAUUGACGUAAUGAUUAAUAGGGAUAGUUGGGGGCAUUAGUAUUCAAUUGUCAGAGGUGAAAUUCUUGGAUUUAUUGAAGACUAACUACUGCGAAAGCAUUUGCCAAGGAUGUUUUCAUUAAUCAAGAACGAAAGUUAGGGGGAUCGAAGACGAUCAGAUACCGUCGUAGUCUUAACCAUAAACUAUGCCGACUAGGGAUCGGAUGAUGUUAAUUUUUUAAUGACUCAUUCGGCGCCUUACG